GGGAAGAGCUCAAAUUUUAAAUCUGACGUCUUCGGCGUCCGAGUUGUAAUUUGUAGAGGAUGCUUUUGAUGCGGUGCCUUCCGAGUUCCCUGGAACGGGACGCCAUAGAGGGUGAGAGCCCCGUCUGGUUGGAUGCCAAAUCUCUGUAAAGCUCCUUCAAC
RNAcentral lists this ribosomal RNA (161 nucleotides) under Fusarium sp. Its description in RNAcentral is "partial large subunit ribosomal RNA". It matches the Rfam family "Eukaryotic large subunit ribosomal RNA", at positions 100 to 261 of the family's 3401-position model. The record is from RNAcentral. Lineage: Eukaryota; Fungi; Ascomycota; Sordariomycetes; Hypocreales; Nectriaceae.